Molecule: ribosomal RNA, 450 nt
Filed under: Stenotrophomonas maltophilia
Lineage: Bacteria; Pseudomonadati; Pseudomonadota; Gammaproteobacteria; Lysobacterales; Lysobacteraceae
Description: bacterial SSU rRNA
Rfam family: Bacterial small subunit ribosomal RNA
Source: RNAcentral
UCUGGGUGGCGAGUGGCGGACGGGUGAGGAAUACAUCGGAAUCUACUCUGUCGUGGGGGAUAACGUAGGGAAACUUACGCUAAUACCGCAUACGACCUACGGGUGAAAGCAGGGGAUCUUCGGACCUUGCGCGAUUGAAUGAGCCGAUGUCGGAUUAGCUAGUUGGCGGGGUAAAGGCCCACCAAGGCGACGAUCCGUAGCUGGUCUGAGAGGAUGAUCAGCCACACUGGAACUGAGACACGGUCCAGACUCCUACGGGAGGCAGCAGUGGGGAAUAUUGGACAAUGGGCGCAAGCCUGAUCCAGCCAUACCGCGUGGGUGAAGAAGGCCUUCGGGUUGUAAAGCCCUUUUGUUGGGAAAGAAAUCCAGCUGGCUAAUACCCGGUUGGGAUGACGGUACCCAAAGAAUAAGCACCGGCUAACUUCGUGCCAGCAGCCGCGGUAAUAACCC